Molecule: ribosomal RNA, 497 nt
Filed under: uncultured bacterium
Lineage: Bacteria
Description: partial 16S ribosomal RNA
Rfam family: Bacterial small subunit ribosomal RNA
Source: RNAcentral
GAUGAACGCUGGCGGCGUGCCUAAUACAUGCAAGUCGAGCGAACAGAUGAGGAGCUUGCUCCUCUGACGUUAGCGGCGGACGGGUGAGUAACACGUGGAUAACCUACCUAUAAGACUGGGAUAACUUCGGGAAACCGGAGCUAAUACCGGAUAAUAUAUUGAACAGCAUGGUUCAAUAGUGAAAGACGGUUUUGCUGUCACUUAUAGAUGGAUCCGCGCCGCAUUAGCUAGUUGGUAAGGUAACGGCUUACCAAGGCAACGAUGCGUAGCCGACCUGAGAGGGUGAUCGGCCACACUGGAACUGAGACACGGUCCAGACUCCUACGGGAGGCAGCAGUAGGGAAUCUUCCGCAAAGGGCGAAAGCCUGACGGAGCAACGCCGCGUGAGUGAUGAAGGUCUUCGGAUCGUAAAACUCUGUUAUUAGGGAAGAACAAAUGUGUAAGUAACUAUGCACGUCUUGACGGUACCUAAUCAGAAAGCCACGGCUAACUACGUG